Molecule: long non-coding RNA, 2165 nt
Organism: Rhinopithecus roxellana (golden snub-nosed monkey)
Lineage: Eukaryota; Metazoa; Chordata; Mammalia; Primates; Cercopithecidae
Exons: 5
Source: RefSeq, a predicted model, not a curated record
CGCCUGGAUAUUUGUUAUACGAGGAAUGCAACACACAUCCAUGGCUUUCCCUGUGUGCUCUUCCCCCACACCCAGUAUGAGAGCCAAGGUCAGGGCAUUAACCAGUGGUGAGGGGGACACUGGCUGUGCAGACAGGAGCAUAGGGUCUGCAGGGGACAACAGACCUGGUGUUUGGAGCUUUAUUGUAGGAGGACACACAGCAUAUGUCCACAGUUCCUACCAUUUGUGCUCUUUCUUCCCCAGUGUGAGUGCCAAUUGUCCAUUGGGUCCCUGUACCCUACUUGCAUUGAAGGGACCACAUGGCUCUUCCGUGAUGCCUACAGUCUGAAGAGUAAGAGGUACUGUAAGCGCCUCAAGGUGCUGUGUUCUGAGCACUCUUGGGAUCCCAAGGUGCCAAAGGAUGAGGUGGGCGGUUGUCCACUAGUGCAUAAUGUCUUUGAGUUCACGGGUAAUUUCUGUUGCCUCCCCAAAUGCCUGUGCAACUGCUACUAUAGCUGGGAGAAGCUGAGGCGUGCCGAGGUAGACCUGGAGCGCAUGCAGGCGGUGCACAUACAGAAAGAGAAUUGUGCCUCAGAAGCUGUACUUAAUGGAUGACACCCAGGAGCCUCAUCUGCACCUGGACCUAAUAUGGUGAUAAAAUUUUAGGCUUGGAGCUGAUACUGUAAUGAGAAGGGGAAUUUGGGCUUGAAGUCGCACAGCAGUAAAUUCUGAAAAAAACUUGACUUCACAGUGAGAUGCUUCCUGUUAGAAAAAAUUAUGAUGACCAGAUGGAGAAAUAUCAGGAACAUCCAAACAAACCUUGAAGUCAUAUUUCUUUCAUCAAAAAGAAAACAUUAAAACAAGAGAGAUUAUGGUUAUUACAAUGUUGUAAAAGUACUUCAAGUGGUUCCAAACAUCGUCCUCUGACAAAGGAGACCCUAUUAAUUUGAUUCACUUGUAAAGAAUUGGAAACAAAAUGUAGACUCACAUACUGAUAAUAGAAGCAGUACCACAAAUAACCUUGACAAGAUUAACAACCGACUGUUUUCAUGCAUAGUUCAUUCUGUAAUAAACAUGAAAAUAUUUGUGCAGGAGAGAAAUUUUAAAAUGCAAUCCAUGGAAAGGAAAUUCAUGUAGAGUGUGUAUUCACAAAACUCAUAGAGUGCUCUACGGUGCUACAAAGCACUCUAUGAGUGUGGUGAAUACACAAAGGCUCCAUCCAGAAGGCAACACUCAAGGUCCAACAGAGAAUUCACACUGGACAGAAACCUGACAAGUGCAGUGGCUGUAGAAAAGCCUUCACUGGGAUUUCACAUUUCAGGAAACACCAGACAAUUUAUUCUGAAGAGAGACAAUGUGAAUACGAUAGUCAAGUGCAGUGGUGUGCACCUAUAAUCCUACCUACUUGGGAAGCUGAGGCAGGAGGAUCGCUUGAGUCAGGAGUUCAAGACUACAGUGUGCCAUGAUCUGAUCAUGCCUGUGAACAGCCACUGCACUCCAGCCUGCGCCACAUAGUGAGACCCCGUAUCCUAAAAAAAGAAUUAUUGUGAAUGUGGUACAACAUUCAAUCAGAAAUCAAUACUAAAACGCAUCAAAAAACUCACAAGGAGAGAAACUUUAUGUAUGUAAUGAAUGUGGCAAGGCCUUCAACUGGAAGUCAAACUUCAUUUUACCCAUCAGAUGAUUCAUGCUGGAGAGAACCUUAGGAUGCAAUCUUGUGGGAAAUUCUUAACUUCCAAGCCACAACUCUUAUGGCAGUCAGCAAGUUUACAAUGAAGCCAAACUAUAUUUAUGAACCGAAUGUAGAAGUGCUUUCACCAAAAAAAUUAAGCCUUCUCACACACCAGAAAACUCAUACUGGAGAGAAACUCUGUAUUGACUGUGAGGACCUUUAGACAGAGGCCAGAGUUGAUUAUAUAUCAGAAAAUUCAUUCUGCAGAAAAGCCUUAUUAAUGUAGUGUCUGUAGGAAAUCUUUUGCUAGGAAAUCAUGCCUCCAACUGCGUCAGCAAAUUCACACAGGAGAGAAACCCUAUAUAUGUUCUGAAUGUGGGAAGGCCUUCACCAACAGUUCCACAAUGGAGAAAUGCUACAAAACUUGCAUUUAAGAUAAACCCUACAAGUGUAGUGAGUGUGCUAAGGCUCCAUUGAGAAAUCUGUUCUCAUUAUGUGUGGAACUAUUUAUACU